GCAGAAAGUAGGGUUUUGGAGGUGUGUCAGAUCGCUCCCAGGGCUUCAUUGUUUCGGGAACAUAAACAUUCAGAGCAGCUGCAGCACUGAACCUUGCUAACCCGCCACUCCUGAGUUUCCUGAACAGGCAUGGACACACCCUCACGCACACACAUUCCCAUAGAUGUGAGUAAGGUCAGCAGGGCUAUUUUUGGCAGUCGUGGUUAAUCGCUCUGCUGCAGUGUGCCUCUAUAAAGCCUGGAUACACACUCCGGUCCAGUCAUACUCAACUGAGCAGACCAGACAUCACUCUGUUUCACUCUGCGUGUCAGACACAUUAACUGAAGAAUCAAAGCAUGAAACGCAGGCAGUUGUUGCUUUCUCUGCCUCACCUACCCACCAUUACUGAGACGCUGGAGGACUUGCCUGUCCAUCCAUCAUCCUCCCAGUCUACCCAGGGCUCCCAAUCUCUAGAGGAGUACAUGACCAGUAUCCAGGCCCUUGCCUGCCCUGUUGAGGCCCCGAGCUGCGGCCCCGUCAGACUCCAGAGGUCCCCCAGGCUACGGCAGCUCUCAAAGGCUCAGAUGAAGCUCUCUGUCUCAGCCUCGCUUCCUCGCGGCUCUCCCCGCGCACUAAGGACUUCCAGACCUUCCAGUCUGAGUCUUAACAGCACAGAGGAAUUUUCUCUCAAGAUGGGCAGAGAACGAGACAGCAAGGGCAAAGACCCCAUGGACUGGCUGUUUGGACAGAUAAGGACUUGAAGGGAGACGUUGUUGCCGUGUCCUGUCGGCACUUUGGUGGAAUAUCUCACAAUGAAACAAGGCUGGAAGAACCUGCUCUUUGUAUGAGGAUUAAAACAGAGCACCGUAUGAGGGGACUUACUACGAUGUCUGAGCAAAGACAAAAUCACCAUAUGUGAAGAUCUAUUUAUUUCUAUGCACUGAGGACUGAAGUCUACGUGUUUACAUUGUUUAAUAUUUUGUAAAGAUGUAAAGGAUAUAGUUUGUAAUAAAAUACUAAAAUAAUCAUGAA
Seriola aureovittata is the source of this 1011-nucleotide long non-coding RNA. RefSeq lists it as uncharacterized. The record is from RefSeq and is a predicted model, not a curated record. NCBI's taxonomy places the organism in Eukaryota, Metazoa, Chordata, Actinopteri, Carangiformes, Carangidae. The transcript has 2 exons.